Cyprinus carpio carpio is the source of this 2955-nucleotide long non-coding RNA. The record is from Ensembl. NCBI's taxonomy places the organism in Eukaryota, Metazoa, Chordata, Actinopteri, Cypriniformes, Cyprinidae.
CACAGCCUGUUGGAGCAAGGCCUGAGGGCCUGCCUGGAGCCUGACUGCCAUCGAACUUCAUCACAGGGAGACAUUAUUAAUACGAAUGAUAAUCUGACAACCUGACAUUUUAGUUAAGAUCAACAAGAAGGUUAAAGAAUCAGCUUUAAAGCCCUCUGUAACAUGAUAAACAUUUCUAUCGGCAUGUAACCAGCACAUAACAUCACUGCUAUAAUUUUCUCCUCUAAUGAUGGUUAUGUCGGAGAGCGCUCAUUGAUGCCCGCGGGCCGAUUGUGUAAAUGAAACAGAAAACAUACAAAUUGCAUUGUCAAUUCAAAUUUAAGCAGGUAAUGCAGCCCAUUCAUUGCAUUGGCCCGCGGUAGCUACCUCUAGUUAUCUGUGACAGAAGGACACGUCGUCGGCCUGCUGGAGGGAAAAAAAAGCGACAGGCAGCAGCAGCGCCUCGAGUAGGCUACACCAGAAAGGAGACGCGCUACGACAUGACAAAUUCAUCGUCUCUGCCUGAUAAAUCACUGGGCUGUUUUAAUUUUCGUAGGAAAGAGGCCGUGUCGAAGGCCAGUUGCUGUUCUAAUUAAACUGAGACAACUCAGAAUUAGCGUGCUCGUCACCGGCGGUCUCCGCGGCGGCUGUCAUCGCCCGCAUCGCGCAUCUUCAGACUAUUUGAAAAUCAAUUAUCUCAACAAACCAGCUGUAAGGAAGUCGAUGGUAUUUAUUUAUUUACCUAUUUAUUUCCAUUAUUUAAUGCCGUUCUUAAACAAUACACAAUCUCAUUUUCAUGUUCUCUUAACCUCCAUGACUAUUCUACAUGAAUUCACCCAGCUCACCUCCGUCAUCGCCCCUGUCUGCAGAUUGUGGUGGAGAAACCUCACCGGCUCUUUUCAUUUAUUUAUUACAUGCAAAUCAAAGCACUCUUGGAGGUGCUCUCCCGUUUUGCAUAAAUAUUGAUGGGUACGGUGCAGCCUGCGUGUUUGUUUGUGCCGGGGGGAGGGCGCUGAAGGGGGUGUGGGCUGCUCAUUGCACCGUCAGAUUGACCUAGCCUAAGAACCCGCUGCACAUUUUGAUGACAUCCUUUUUUGUCACCUCUCUUGCAGGGUAGAUGACAGGCCAGGGAUGAGCUUCAAACAGUGGCAUGUAUAUGUGUAUGUAUGUAACAGGCCUGUGGAGUGUUUGUGUGUCAAGGACGUUAGCGGGGUGGACAGCUGAUGGACACCAGCGUGGAGGAGAUGUGAUAAAGUAAGAAAGUCGCACAGGUUUGGAAAGACAUUAGGGAGCGUGUGUGGAACUUUUUCCUGAUGUGAUACAGAGGGACUGGUGAGGAUUUCAUCUCGCUUUUACUGAUCUCCAAAGGGGACUGUAGAGGAGUGAGCCGGGGUGAUGGAAGAGUUAACAGGGUUAAGGAGUGGAGAGCUAUAGUAUAUCCUCAUCCAUCAGUGAGGCUGAUAAUCACAACACAGGAUAGAGAAUGAAGACGGGACAUCUGUACAUUAGAAUGAAAUUAAUCACACAUAUGAGUUUUUUUUUUUUUUGUGGAAUCAUGGGAAUUCAAGCAUUAUAAUCACUUGAUUUUCCCAACACAGCUCACCUACCAAUAAACAAAAUUGAUGAGCGAUGGUUUAAAUUAAUCUCUGAACGAUAUUGUGUGAUGCAAAUAGAGAGGACUUAAAUGCAUAAUACAGACUUUGCUACGUGUGAAUAUGGAAAGUGUUAUAAAAGAGGUGAGAGUAAGAGGAAAGUCUUAUCGUCCCUCAAUCUUUCCCUCUAUUUUCUUUCCCCCAUUCUCUUCUUCUGUCUUCAGUGCUGAUGAAAUAUCGCUAUUGUUUAUGCUGAAGAUUAGAAUGAAAUUGGGCUGAAACUGGUUGUUCUGAGGAGAUGGAGAUAAGGCAGAGGAUUUGUAUGGGGCCGUGUGUGGGACCCUCUUAUCGGGGCCCCUGCCACAGGCACCAUAUAAAGUUGUUCAUGCUAAUUAGCCCAGGCAGAAGCCCAGCCCUCACUAUGAUGGCAAUUCAGCGAGGCCCCCACACUAACACUCAUAAAUACGCAUCCUGUUCAUUAUCAUGACUUUUAUCCUUUUUCCUUACCAAGACAAGAUAAGAAAUUUAAUUACAAAAAUUUACAUUUCACAGCAAGAAGUCUGGAUAAACAAAUAGUUUUUAUCAGUGCCGUUUUUAAAAGAGAGCGCCUGACACUUCUUUGACCAAGACAUUCCACAGCUUAAUGCACAUUCACCCAAAACGGAGAAUAAGAAAUAAUGUUUGCUUGGGUCUUUGAAGAAGAAUGAUUCAUUUGAUGACACAGUAUUUGCAACACAUGAAUUGAUUAAACGUCUUCAGAUGAUUUCUCUGUUGCCAUGAGACGCAGGUGUUGUUUCUUAGUCUCAGAGUAACAGUACAGUCUAGUUUAUUAACACUUUCACCUUGACACAUCCUGCCUUAUGUGAGCACCCACUAGAGCCUUCUGACCUUUACAGGAAAAUGGAGUGGUUUUCAAUAUGUGCAGACCCCAAGGACUCCUAUUUGUGCUUUUAAAUUACAUGUAUUAGGCAUUUUACACAUUUCCAGACUUUUGUAUGUGUAUGUGUGUGUUAUCGUGAGUGCUUUUGGAUAGACCAUCCAUUACGGCAAUAUGCAACUUCUGGUAACUGCAAGAAAUGUGGAUGUGAAGCAUCUAGUUCUUUUAUUAGUAUGCUGUAUAUAUUAAAAAAGAAUGGAGGACAGAGUAUAAUAUUUGGUAAAUCUAUCUAACAGAUAGGCUCUUUCUGCUUCCUGACCACCAAGUGUUUAUAAGUAUGCUUCUUUAUCUACCUUUUGUUAGUAGGUCAGAUGUUAAUUGUUAUACCAAUUAGCUCCUCUUCUGCUAUUCCAGUGCUGUGCUAUGCAGUUCCAACUGCUAAGCUUAGUAUAUAUUUGUGUCAUAAUUUGUGUAAACAUUUAUGUAACUCUUUUUUGUACAAUAAAU